UACGUAGGGUGCAAGCGUUAAUCGGAAUUACUGGGCGUAAAGCGUGCGCAGGCGGUUUUGUAAGUCUGUUGUGAAAUCCCCGGGCUCAACCUGGGAAUGGCGAUGGAGACUGCAAGGCUAGAGUUUGGCAGAGGGGGGUAGAAUUCCACGUGUAGCAGUGAAAUGCGUAGAGAUGUGGAGGAACACCGAUGGCGAAGGCAGCCCCCUGGGUCAAAACUGACGCUCAUGCACGAAAGCGUGGGGAGCAAACAGG
This 253-nucleotide ribosomal RNA is filed under the name uncultured bacterium. RNAcentral describes it as "partial 16S ribosomal RNA". It matches the Rfam family "Bacterial small subunit ribosomal RNA", at positions 524 to 776 of the family's 1533-position model. The record is from RNAcentral.